This 253-nucleotide ribosomal RNA is filed under the name uncultured bacterium. RNAcentral's name for it is "partial 16S ribosomal RNA". It matches the Rfam family "Bacterial small subunit ribosomal RNA", at positions 524 to 776 of the family's 1533-position model. The record is from RNAcentral.
UACGUAGGGUGCGAGCGUUGUCCGGAUUUAUUGGGCGUAAAGGGCUCGUAGGCGGUCUGUCGCGUCGGCUGUGAAAACCCGGGGCUCAACCCCGGGCCUGCAGUCGAUACGGGCAGACUAGAGUGCGGUAGGGGAGACUGGAAUUCCUGGUGUAGCGGUGAAAUGCGCAGAUAUCAGGAGGAACACCGGUGGCGAAGGCGGGUCUCUGGGCCGUAACUGACGCUGAGGAGCGAAAGCGUGGGGAGCGAACAGG